CUUUUAGUAACAGAUUUUAAAGUUUCUUUUAUCCCUUAAGUGAUCUGUUCUGUAUUUAUCUUUGAAAUAUUUUAUUGUUAAUGAAUAAGUAAUAUUUCAAAGUGACCUAUAUUUUUAUUUGACCAAGUGUUUUGAAACUAUAACAAGCUUCCCAAAUAUCAAAUUUUAAUCAGGCUUCUUUUGACCUCCAGCUAAAUCUGGGAUGCUUCAGAGGGCCCCUGAAACAUCCGAAAGAGAGAUUUUAAACUAUGCCUUUGGUGAGAGAUAAGAGGAUGUUUCUGGGCAGGUCCUCCUCUGCCCCUGGCAGGGAUUCAGCAAGAACCCUGCCAGAUUCACCAUGACUGUGGAUGGAACUGCUCUCCAGCAGAGAAAGUAACAAUUAUUCAUGAUUAAAAUUACUUGUCAAAAUA
Molecule: long non-coding RNA, 410 nt
Organism: Camelus dromedarius (Arabian camel)
Lineage: Eukaryota; Metazoa; Chordata; Mammalia; Artiodactyla; Camelidae
Exons: 2
Source: RefSeq, a predicted model, not a curated record